GCUGGGAUAGUAUAGUGGUAGUACAUUGGUUUGUGGUACCAACAACCCGGGUUCAAUUCCCGGUCCUGGCA
This is a transfer RNA of Acanthamoeba castellanii str. Neff, 71 nucleotides long. It matches the Rfam family "tRNA". From Rfam's summary of the family: Transfer RNA (tRNA) molecules are approximately 80 nucleotides in length. Their secondary structure includes four short double-helical elements and three loops (D, anti-codon, and T loops). NCBI's taxonomy places the organism in Eukaryota, Discosea, Longamoebia, Acanthamoebidae. The record is from Rfam.